This 305-nucleotide ribosomal RNA is filed under the name uncultured bacterium. RNAcentral's name for it is "bacterial SSU rRNA". It matches the Rfam family "Bacterial small subunit ribosomal RNA", at positions 333 to 636 of the family's 1533-position model. The record is from RNAcentral.
GGGAACCUACGGGACGCAGCAGUGAGGAAUAUUGGUCAAUGGGCUUACGCCUGAACCAGCCAAGUCGCGUGAGGGAAGACGGCCCUACGGGUUGUAAACCUCUUUUGUCGGGGAGCAAAGCGAGUCACGUGUGACUCAUUGAGAGUACCCGAAGAAAAAGCAUCGGCUAACUCCGUGCCAGCAGCCGCGGUAAUACGGAGGAUGCGAGCGUUAUCCGGAUUUAUUGGGUUUAAAGGGUGCGCAGGCGGAGGUGCAAGUCAGCGGUCAAAUUGCGGGGCUCAACCCCGUACUGCCGUUGAAACUGC